This 484-nucleotide ribosomal RNA is filed under the name uncultured bacterium. Its description in RNAcentral is "partial 16S ribosomal RNA". It matches the Rfam family "Bacterial small subunit ribosomal RNA", at positions 30 to 507 of the family's 1533-position model. The record is from RNAcentral.
AUUGAACGCUGGCGGCAGGCCUAACACAUGCAAGUCGAGCGGAUGAAGGGAGCUUGCUCCUGGAUUCAGCGGCGGACGGGUGUGUAAUGCCUAGGAAUCUGCCUGGUAGUGGGGGAUAACGUCCGGAGACGGGCGCUAAUACCGCAUACGUCCUGAGGGAGAAAGUGGGGGAUCUUCGGACCUCACGCUAUCAGAUGAGCCUAGGUCGGAUUAGCUAGUUGGUGGGGUAAAGGCCUACCAAGGCGACGAUCCGUAACUGGUCUGAGAGGAUGAUCAGUCACACUGGAACUGAGACACGGUCCAGACUCCUACGGGAGGCAGCAGUGGGGAAUAUUGGACAAUGGGCGAAAGCCUGAUCCAGCCAUGCCGCGUGUGUGAAGAAGGUCUUCGGAUUGUAAAGCACUUUAAGUUGGGAGGAAGGGCAGUAAGUUAAUACCUUGCUGUUUUGACGUUACCAACAGAAUAAGCACCGGCUAACUUCGUG